UGUGGAUGGAGAAGGGUCAGGGAAAGCCUAGUGGAAGAUGUGUGAUCAGGCUGUACUGUGAGGCUGCCAAAGCUCAAAACAAACUAAAAUAGGACAAGCUGUGGGAAGAACAGAUGAGCAGGCCUUAAAUGCUAAGCUCAGACACUGGGCUUGCUAGGCCAGGAAACCCCCAGCCAAGGAUGGGUUCUAACUGAUUUCUGUGUCCCGAAUAGAGCCUGACACCAGGCGAUUUGCCACGAGAAGGACAUGGCCUGGUGGCUACUGCACCUUCAGCUUCCGCACACAUAAAUACAUAUGGAACACACCGGACCUAGUCUCCAGCCUGGAGCCAUGCCUACAGCAUGGCUGAAGCAUGAAGCAGGGCUAACUGGCCACAUUCAACCUCCAUCAGCUGAAGCACAAUACACCUGCAAACCUAUGAGUCUGAGAAUAAAGGCUUGUUAUUGAAAGCCA
Molecule: long non-coding RNA, 453 nt
Organism: Homo sapiens (human)
Lineage: Eukaryota; Metazoa; Chordata; Mammalia; Primates; Hominidae
Exons: 2
Source: RefSeq, a predicted model, not a curated record